UUGACCUCAAAUCAGGUAGGACUACCCGCUGAACUUAAGCAUAUCAAUAAGCGGAGGAAAAGAAACUAACAAGGAUUCCCCUAGUAACUGCGAGUGAAGCGGGAUGAGCUCAAAUUUCGAAUCUGGCGGUCUUCAGGCCGUCCGAGUUGUAAUCUAGAGAAGCGUCUUCCGCGCUGGACCGUGUACAAGUCUCCUGGAAGGGAGCGUCGUAGAGGGUGAGAAUCCCGUCUUUGACACGGACUGCCAGUGCUAUGUGAUGCGCUCUCGACGAGUCGAGUUGUUUGGGAAUGCAGCUCAAAUCGGGUGGUAAACUCCAUCUAAAGCUAAAUAUUGGCGAGAGACCGAUAGCGA
This 351-nucleotide ribosomal RNA is filed under the name uncultured Paxillus. RNAcentral describes it as "eukaryotic LSU rRNA". It matches the Rfam family "Eukaryotic large subunit ribosomal RNA", at positions 1 to 343 of the family's 3401-position model. The record is from RNAcentral. Lineage: Eukaryota; Fungi; Basidiomycota; Agaricomycetes; Boletales; Paxillaceae.